Molecule: long non-coding RNA, 5889 nt
Organism: Alligator mississippiensis (American alligator)
Lineage: Eukaryota; Metazoa; Chordata; Crocodylia; Alligatoridae
Exons: 3
Source: RefSeq, a predicted model, not a curated record
GUUACUGCUAGCUGUGACUGUGGACUACAAAUCCCAGAGGCACCUGGAAGGAGGAAGAGGAAGCAAACACACAGCCCAUGCUGACUACAUACCAGAGAGCUGUCCUGGAAGCAGGAAGAGGAAGUGAUGAGCAAACCUGCAGAGUCUUGCUGUUGUGAUUGUGGACUACAAAUCCCAGAGACCUUGGGGCAGCAGGAAGAGGAAGUGAGUACAUAGCCCUUGCUGGCUACAUGUUAGAGAGCUGUGCUCUAUCACCCCCCAGCUUCUGGCCUGAGCCAUGGCAGGCAUGUGGCUGCAUUUCCUGAAUCAAAGGUCUAUAAAGGCUAUGAGCCAGGGAGGGUGAGUCAUUUUGUGCUGAGCAGCUGGAACAGGGGCAACUUCUGCACUUGCAGAGUGGGCUUGAACAGCUUCCAGUCACGGGUUACACAGAGGGCUGAAGCCAGCAGAGUGAUGUUGGCUGUGGAUGGAUCCCUGGGAUGGAGAUGGCAAUGAAGACUUCCAGGGAAACCAGUUUCUUUAGAUGCUGUAUGUUGAGGAACAUAUAUACAAUUGUCAUAUAGCAUUAUAUCCUGCAAAUGAAGACUGAAAGGGUACACAACUUUAAGAAGCAUCGAAUAAUGCAUGGGUAAGCAGUUGAUCUGAAACGGGUAAGCAUCAAGGAAGGGGUCCCGGCUAAGAGUCGUACUGUAUACUCUAGUAAACUACCAAUAUACAAUUAUAAAAAUACACAAAAUAUAAGAUGCAGUGUUACAAAAUAUAAGGUGUAUAAACAUCAAAAAUAAACUUGACUCUUCAAAAAUCCCCAAAGCCCAGGCUGUCCUGAAGACCUUGGCUGCACUCCAGUGACUGGUGGGAGGGGAAAACCCUAAUGCCCUUGGCCCUUCCACAAACCCCAAUGAAGUCUAUGAACUCAGAGGGGCCUGCUCCCCCUGGGAGCUCUCCUCCAAGAGCCCCUUAUUAGCCAGGAGGAAUUUCCCCCUCCCUGUGGGAAUCCUUUUCCCCAGCAACUCACAACUCCGGGUCCAGAGCAAGUGGUCCUUGGCCCCUCAGGUGUGUUGCUCCUGCGGGUCCAGCACCUCAUCUUGCCCCUAGGUAGCACCAGCCAAAGACAGCACAGCGCUGUGCAGAGCUCGGUUAUCCCCGCUCUCCCAUGUACCUGUCCAGGCAGCUUGAGUUGCUCUGCUCAUUCCUCAGUUAGCUGACAUGUGAAAGCUAAUGCAGCAGGCCCAUAUUUCCAGGGUCUGGGAUAUCGGUGAGUGUAACCUUCUUUGGAAAUGGCCAGCUGUAAGCUGUAGCUGUUCCUCUAUUUAACCUCCGAUGUUCCACUAGAUGUUUUUCUCUUUAUGUUCUUAAUGCAUUUUACAUGCUUGGAUCACUGCCAUUUAAAUAGAUUUGGGGACCAGGAAUGCAUUUUAAAAAGCCACUAGAGGGCACCUCUGCAUAAAUGUAGCUGAGAAUUGUGUGUGAAAUGGCACAGGAAGGGAUUCUGAUGUCUGAGCUGGGUACCUAGGCAGCAGCUGCUGUAUUAAUCAGUGAUUUUAAUAUAGCGCUUUUUGGGACCAGGGUUGAUCCAGACAAGUCCUCUGCUGGGUAAUUUUAUUGCUGACCACAUGGUGCCAGCGUGACUGCAAAAAUCAUGGCUCUGUGCGGGCAUACAAACACCCAGACUACGUUCAUCAGCUGCAGUGGGACCAGAAACCUCAGGUGCUCACUGUGCAGCCAUCGGUAGGGGGGCAAAGACAUGGUGGGCAGUACUCUGGCAUGGCCCAGAGGCACGCUUAGUUUGGGGUAUCAUUUAAAAUAGAAAUAGGCCUUUCCUAGCUAGUUACUGAUCUCAUGAGCUUGCUGAAGGAUACUUCUACAUCACUCCUGGCCUAAGCAAACCCCACUGACCUCCAUGGAAGAGUACUUGGUUACACUAGGGGUGAGCUUGAUCCAGGGGGAGGGUACAUGGGUGCACUUGGACCCCUCCUUUGAUUCCUGCUCCACCCAAAAUUUAAAACCAGCUGCCUUGCAGUAGCAGGAGCUUUUCUAGCCGGCAGUGCUGAGGGAGUCACUUGAUUAAAUGGCUCAUUAUCAUCUACCUGAUCCCUUCUACAAGUGUUAAUGACCCUCUCUUCUUUCUAAAGGUCUUGAUGUUCCACCAAUCAAGCUAUCCUUUGUUCUGCAAAUCUGCUGUCUGUUACCUGCUCCUGGGAAUGAAGCUCUUAUUUCACAGCCCUGCAGCCUGUUCUUAAUUCAUUCCAAUGAAGCUAUAUUUGCAUCUGCUUCAAUCUUAAACUGAAUAAUUAACAGCCCUGGGCACUUGCAUAUUAUUAAAGCUUCUAGCUUAUUUUUAACUGGUUAAAAUAUGUCUUGCUUUAGGUAGAUGAUGCACCUCACCAUCUUCACCCCCCGUUUCGAAAUUCUAGAUCUGCCCAUGGUUUGAUCUGUCACCAAGUCCUGGAGAAGGCAAAACCUGUCGGCUUCAUCCUUAUUCAGAUUACGUCGUGUAAGCAGGACAGCUGGAAGGAAUUAACCCACUGCCAUAGGGGCCUGUUACUGCCCCAUCCAAAGCAAAGAGGUGGUUGCUUUUUCUCAGAAAAGACUUACCAUUGACCAUCUUGGUGCUGAGAGAGGGAAUUAUUUUUUGCUCUUAUUUGACUCUCAUUUAAGGGGAGAUAAUGUAAGUGCCAACUACUGAAUGGAAUCGGGGUUGCCCAACGGUGUGCAGUAGGUCCUAGGCUACUAGCCUUUACUGGAGGUGCCCCACAUAGAAGCAUUUGUACCUGAAUUAAGUGGAUCUAAACUGCAUAUCAGCUGUCAAAGAUGAGUGGCCAUCGUGUGAAGUAUGCUGGCAAAUGGCGUUUUGCGUGGCAGGGAAGCCGUUGCCAAUAACGUACCUGAGAUGAGACGUAGCGAGGACUGAGCUUUGUUAAAGUAAAUUGGAUGCAACUAUUUGCAGCGUUUUGUAUUUUUAACAAGGCAGUCUUUUAACUCUUCCAGCUUUUUGUGCUGGGUAAAGAGUCGAAUAUGAAACGGUCACAGAAAAAGUCACCAGAUAAGACAAAUAUUUUCACUCGAGAUGGGUGAACACUGAGCAGUCACUCGAACGUUAAGGAAAGGUUGUAACAGAAGCUGCAGUUGAAACAAGAAUUCGCAGCCUUGCGGUUUUUAUUAUUGCUGAUGUAGGUUCAUUGCAGCUAUUCAUGGUAUAUUGCUCCCCCCAAGUGGCUGUCUAGUUAUUUUAUUUUUCAGGCAUCGGUUCAACAUCAGUUCAUAAAUGAGUGUGGGCCAAAUGCUCUUUUUUAUCACCCUUAGCAUUUUUCAAACAGUUUCCUGUGUGAACGUAUGGGCUUGCAAGAACGUUUGCAGAAAGCACAGUUGCUUAGACCUCAAAUGUCUGACUUACCCCUAAUUUAAAAAGUCAACCCAGACAAAAUAAUAUGUGGUGACUUUGGUCAAACACGCAGCAAAUUGAUGAAGGUGCCUUUAGACAUGAGAUCCAGUCCAGAGCAUUGAAAUCACUGGAUUUAAUGAACAAACUCAAAGUCUAUUUAUGCAUCACUUGGAAAUAGAGGGGGAAACCUCCAUCCUUCAGAUGCCUGAUGCUGCUCUGGCCCUGACUGGCAGUGGUAUAAGUAAUAGGGCAUUCUGCUAUAGGCUCUGCUAGGGCAUGUAGUGAGAUGACUCUGGUUUACAGCGAUUCCUCACGGUCUGCCUUAGUGUGGAGGCAUUUCCCAAACUCCCCUGGGCACCAGAUCCCAUCACGCUGCCUUGCUUAGCUAGGAAAACAUCCUUCCAAUGAAUUCUGUGUACUGAACUCAGCCUGUGCGAGUCAAUGCCUCCCCACUGCUCGAAGAAGAUUUCUGCCAGCUUGUUCUCUGGGAGAGUCAUUCUCUGUGAUGUCGAUGCAUUUUUAAGUCUUUCUCUCCAGUUAAAUUUCCAGUCUCCAUCCAAGGAGCAACCGAGUCCUCGGUGCCUCAUCCAGCAGCAGCAGAGCUGCUAUUACAAAGUUAACUGUACCUUAGGGAGGGGGGUGCUUGGGAAAGCAAGUGCCUUAUGGGUGUGGAAGAUGUAGGAACCCCCUGGAGCCACAGACCCCAGAAACCUAUCGUAGGACUUCCAAGUUCCUGAUUUUAGCAGCAAGGCACCUGGGGUUGUGGCUUUUGGGGUUUCCAAGGGUCGUUGGCCUUGUGGAGCACUAGACCCUGGGGGCACAGGGCCUGCCCAGCGGCUCGCCAGCUGAGCGAGGAGGGGACUGAGCAGGAUUCUCCGGGACACCUGUUUGUGCUGGCUCAGAGUUGACACUUGGUGUCUUUCUAUGAAACGUUCUGGCUCUGAUGAACCAGUGCUUUCUGAUGACAUUGCAUUUCUUCUGAACAUUUCCAGCUGGAUCUACAAGGAGCUGGAUACUCUGGUGACUUCUGUGUUUAACCAGGGAAGGCAGUGGGAGAUAAGCGAUGAUCAGACCUUAUGCCUUGGGACAUAUGAAGACUGUUAAAAGAAAGCUGGAUGGGGGAUAGGGGUCUGGAGUAUCAUCUUUUGUUGUUUCAGAUCAGGAACGAAGAAUCUUUCCAGUCUGUGUCGUGGUAUCUUCCCACUGUAACUAAUGAUGGAAGGAUGCUCAUUUAUUCUUGCUGCUUGUGUAUUGGCUUCUAGAUACGUUAUGCUCAUACCUCCAUGUACAUUAUGCUGUAUUCAAAGCAGUCAGGGUUAAAGGCAUAUAAAAAUAAUGUAGCAUGCACCAAAGAGAUAAAAAGGGCAAUAGCUUGUGCAUAUGCUCUACCUAAGCCAGCUCUUCAAAUUGACACAUCAUGGAUCAAGCUCUGAAGUCAGGGAUGGCUUUGGAAAAUGUAACGCUUCACAAUUCUGAGUGACAAAUUGACACCUUGACAAGAAACUGUCUCAUCACUUCUGAGCUAAAGUUACUAAUAACUUGGACAGAAAGUGCUGUAUUUAUUGGCAAACACUGCUGUCAUAUUGAGACGUUUUGAUGUGCCCCGUAAACAUAGGAACAAAUGGUAAGAAAGGCUAAAUAAAUAUAACAUGGCCAAUGCUAAGCAUUCAAAUAAUGAAUGGGGCCACAGAAAUGUUCUUUUUGAUCAUCAUGUUGGGCUCAUGUGCUUUCUGAUCUGAGCCAUUAGGGUAUGUUGGAAUUGCAUUUUUUUUACCCUUUUUCUCCAUAUGUAUUAGUGUUAGGAACUUUUCUAUGAGUUAACGUAUCAUUGCUUGUGUCAGGAAGUCAAUUUCAAAUGAAAUGUUAAAAGCCAUAAAAGUAAAAAAAAAAUCAUGACUUUGGCAACCAUUUCAGGAGGUCUUAUCUACAAAGAGGAGGGUUUGGAAGGGGCAUCCUCAGGGACCAAUGCCUAUGACAUUGCAAGUUCCCUAAUUAAGACAAACCCCUGAGGUGUGUUCACCCUACAAAGGUGCCAAAAGAGAGUCGAGGAAUGAGGAGAGCAGUACUAAGCUCUGAGUACUUCUUUCUGAGAUGCUUGUACAAUCACAGUUUAGUCAAACUUUGUGGCAUGACUCGGCCUUUAUAUCAGUGUGUGACAAAGGGCCAGCCUGAGACUGAGCUCUGCGUCGGCCUACCCACCUGUCUUGGUCAGUCUGCCCGCCUAUCUUACCUGCCACGCCUUGUUAGUAAAUAAUUAAGUUGUUUAUUAGGUGGGAGGCUGCCCUUCAUGCGCUCAGCUAUGCCAAACCCUGCCUCCUGCCAGCCAGUUGAUGUUAGCAGGUGUGGCCCAUUACUCCCUUAGGCUGUUAGCCUGGCAACCUGCAGCUGGGGAUCUCUGCUUAGUCUGCUGAGCUCCCUGGCCAGGCCAGGCUUCUUCAGCCUUAAGGAGCAGGCACAUCUUAGUGCCCUGCUACACAGCAGUUAGGAUGGGUGAAGGCAAAUACAGAAUG